UGUGUCCUGCCAUCCUGCUCUCCUCCAAAAGGGAGAAUCGAUGGAGAAGUUUGGGCACAGCUCUGAGCACAGCCAGCACAGCCUGGGCACGUGGACAGUGGGACAGAGGGGACAGGAUCCUUCUCCAACUGACCGGCCAUUUUCCCCCCAGGCUGCCAGCACCUUAUCAGGUGGUGUUUGUCCAUCCGCCCCUCGGACAGGCCAGCACUGGAAGACCUGUUGUGCCAUCCUUGGGUGCAGGACAUUCCCCGGCCCUAGAAGACGGGAGAGAUCCACGUGCUCCCUUUGAUCCAGGGGCCUGGCAGACAGCUGGGCCCUCGGCAGAACGCUGACAGCCUGGUCUGGCCCCCAGGGAAGGAGAAGGGGCCUCUGCAGAAGCUGUGCCGGGUGGGCCUGCUGCUGGAGACAUCGAGGACGAUGUCAGGGAUGACAAGCUCUCAGCUGACCUGGACGCCGGCGAGCUGAAGAGGAUGGACUUUGAUUCUGGCCCCUUCCUCCAAGCCGUGCUCCACACGCCGUUUGCAGAUGAGUCCACACCCAGGGGGUGCUCCCGGACACGGGCAUUGCUCAGCCUGGCUGGGCACCGAAGGUUCCCCCUUUGCUGAUGGGGAACCUGAGGAAUUCUUCAGCCGGCUGCCAAGCUGCUUCUUGGCAGGAGGGCGGGCGGGUGCUCUGGGCUGGGUGUGAAAUGGGAGCCCGGCUCUGCCCCCAGCCUCUGCCACUGCCCCUUUGCUGGGCGGGGCUGGGGCAGGGGCAGCCAGCCUGCCAAAAACAAACCCCCGUGGGGGGAGCAAAGGCGGGGCUGCAGAACACCAGCUGCUUUGGGCUGCAGGCCACGAAAGGCUUGGGCUGCCUUGGCUUAGGAGCCUUUCUUUGGGCCAGUGCAGCAGGGCAGGGAGAAGGCCUGGGUUUUCCUCAGCUGGAGGAGGUGGGGUUUUCCUUUGGCCUGCAGGGCUUGGGCCUUCCUCAGAACCCUGACAGAAGGUUAACAUUUUACCUUUUUUUCUUGUUUCCACUUUUGGUUUGUAAUCUCUGUUCAUGAAUUUGUUGUUUGUUUUCCAGGGAAGAGUUGGAGCUGGUGCCCAGUCCGGGUUGGGAAGGGCUGGGACCAUCCCUGGAGAGGAUCUGACGUCCCCUCUGAGAAGGCUGAGGACAUCCUUUGGGACACGCUCUUCUUGCGGCAGCAGAUCUUGGGAGGUAGAUGCUCAUCUUGCCCAUCUUGUCAGCAGCAGUGGGAUAAUGGCUUUGGGGAGAUGGCAGCAGGCACAUGAACAUCCCGCUCUUGCAGCUGCUGAGGAGGUUGAUCUCCUGGGCUUGGCUGGAGGAGGUGGCACCUGUGUUGAGUAAUUGCUGAAAUCCAAUCGAUCUGGGAUGACCCCAAAUGACAGUUUAGUUUUCAGCUUGCUCGAGCUGUAUCUCAGCAGCUUUUGGGUAUCAUUUUUGGCCCCCAGACAGGACACCUCUGCCUGAUCUCCCGCGGAUCCGAGGGAUCUCUGGAUCUUCACGCCAGCACCAGGACUUUGCUGCAGAAGAGCACAGAUCCCCAGCCCAGUCUGGGACACAGAACCUGUGAAAGGGCAGAAAGAUUGUGGUGUGAAUGCAGCACCCUCAGAGCCCUUGGUGUGAGCCGGGAAAGGAAAAUCAAGCUGAGGGACAAGAUCAGUCUAAUUUGGGGACAUUGUUGGAGGUUGGAGUUGCAGUUCUGGAAGAAAUCCCUGAGGAAAUGGUGCCCCCGGGGAGAGGAAGAGGACGAGAGCAUGGGCAGCCUGCUUCAAACAUCCCCCCAGGAGACUUGGGAGCAGUCCCUGUGCAUCCUGUAAGAAAGAUGGACACUGGAAAUGGGAUUGUCCGCAAUCCCCCCAGAGAACCCUGAAGGAGACCCCAAAGGACCAACUAAGGACUUGCAAUAGGGGGGGUGACUGUGUAAAGUAAAGUAACAUCUAUGUCUUAAGUAAGGGAGAAUAUCUAAUGAAUCUGGAAACUGUGUGUGUCGUGUAAAGCCCUGUGUGGCUGUCACUGAAGUGCUGAGGCUGAACAACAGGCCCUGAGCCAAAGCUGAGCUCUAGAUGAACCUUCCAACCUAACAGUCUGUUUAUCCCUGUAUUUGCUCCUUAGCUAAAACUGUGUAUGUUUGUUGGUCAAAGAUGCAGUGUGGAAAGACUCCCCGUGUACCUGCCCCUGAACAAAAUAAAUGUGCUUCUUAGUGAGA
This is a long non-coding RNA of Pseudopipra pipra, 2209 nucleotides long. RefSeq lists it as uncharacterized. NCBI's taxonomy places the organism in Eukaryota, Metazoa, Chordata, Aves, Passeriformes, Pipridae. The transcript has 3 exons. The record is from RefSeq and is a predicted model, not a curated record.